GCAGCAAUGAUGUAACGGUAGCAUUCCAGCCUUCCAAGCUGGCCGUGCGGGUUCGAGUCCCGUUUGCUGCU
RNAcentral lists this transfer RNA (71 nucleotides) under Caudoviricetes sp. Its description in RNAcentral is "tRNA-Gly". It matches the Rfam family "tRNA". Rfam says of the family: Transfer RNA (tRNA) molecules are approximately 80 nucleotides in length. Their secondary structure includes four short double-helical elements and three loops (D, anti-codon, and T loops). Lineage: Duplodnaviria; Heunggongvirae; Uroviricota; Caudoviricetes. The record is from RNAcentral.